UAAUCUUAUCUGGUAAAGCGAAUGAUUAGAGGCCUUAGGGCCGAAACGACCUUAACCUAUUCUCAAACUUUAAAUGGGUAAGAACCUCACCUUUCUUGAUAUGAAGUUAAGGUUAUGAUAUAUUGUGCCCAGUGGGCCACUUUUGGUAAGAGAACUGGCGCUGUGGGAUGAACCAAACAUGAUGUUACGGUGCCUAAAUUAACAACUCAUACUGAUACCAUGAAAGGCGUUGUUUGCUUAAAACAGUAGGGCGGUGGACAUGGAAGUCGUAAUCCGCUAAGGAGUGUGUAACAACUCACCUGCCGAAGCAACUAGCCCUUAAAAUGGAUGGCGCUCAAGUUGUAUACCUAUACAUCAUCGCUAAAGCAUAUGAUUAAUAAAUUUAAUUUAUUAAUUUGAAGCUUUAGUGAGUAGGAGGGUAUAAUGGUGUGCGUAGAAGUGUUUGGCGUAAGCCUGCAUGGAGCCGCCAUUAGCACAGAUCUUGGUGGUAGUAGCAAAUAAUCGAAUGAGACCUUGGAGGACUGAAGUGGAGAAGGGUUUCGUGUGAACAGUGGUUGAUCACGAGUUAGUCGGUCCUAAGUUCAAGGCGAAAGCCGAAAAUUUUUUAGUUAUCAAUUGAUAUACUAUAAAAAAUAUUGAACGAAAGGGAAUACGGUUCCAAUUCCGUAACCUGUUAAGUAUACGUUUGUUAUUAAAAAUGGGCUUUAUAUGCUCAUCCUGGCAACAGAAACAACCAUAAAGAAGCCGUCGAGAGAUAUCGAAAGAGUUUUCUUUUCUGUUUUAUAGUCGUACUACCAUGGAAGUCUUUCGAAGAGAGAUAUGGUGGAUGGACUAGAAGAGCAUGGCAUUUACUGCUGUGUCGAUAUUUUCUCCUCGGACCUUGAAAAUUUAUGGUGGGGUUACGCAAACUUCUUAACAGGCCGUACCGAUAUCCGCAGCUGGUCUCCAAGGUGAAGAGUCUCUAGUCGAUAGAAUAAUGUAGGUAAGGGAAGUCGGCAAAUUAGAUCCGUAACUUCGGGAUAAGGAUUGGCUCUGAAGAUUGAGAUAGUCGGGCUUGAUUGGGAAACAAUAAUAUGGUUUAUGUACUCGUUCUGGGUAAAUUAGGAUUUAUACAAUUUAUAUCAAAUUGUGUUUAUCUGUUCCCCGGAUAGAAGUUUACGUAACCAAUUGUGGAACUUUCUUGCUAAAAAUUUAUAAAAGGUUUUUUUCAUUAAAAAAAUUUAUUUUAUAAAUUUAUAACGGCUAUCAAUUAACAAUCAAUUCAGAACUGGCACGGACUUGGGGAAUCCGACUGUCUAAUUAAAACAAAGCAUUGUGAUGGCCCUAACGGGUGUUGACACAAUGUGAUUUCUGCCCAGUGCUCUGAAUGUCAAAGUGAAGAAAUUCAAGUAAGCGCGGGUAAACGGCGGGAGUAACUAUGACUCUCUUAAGGUAGCCAAAUGCCUCGUCAUCUAAUUAGUGACGCGCAUGAAUGGAUUAACGAGAUUCCUACUGUCCCUAUCUACUAUCUAGCGAAACCACAGCCAAGGGAACGGGCUUGGAA
This 1543-nucleotide ribosomal RNA is filed under the name Apsilocephala sp. MEI103270. RNAcentral describes it as "eukaryotic LSU rRNA". It matches the Rfam family "Eukaryotic large subunit ribosomal RNA", at positions 996 to 2390 of the family's 3401-position model. The record is from RNAcentral. Lineage: Eukaryota; Metazoa; Arthropoda; Insecta; Diptera; Apsilocephalidae.